GGGCUCGGCGGGGGAGCGACUCAUGGAGCUGCCGUAAGUUUUACCAACAGACUGCAGUUUCUUCACUGCCAAAAUGACAUCAUUUUCCACCUCUGCCCAGUGUUCAACAUCUGACAGUGCUUGCAGGAUCUCUCCUGGACAAGUCAAUCAGGUACGACCAAAACUGCCACUUUUGAAGAUUUUGCAUGCAGCAGGUGCGCAAGGUGAAAUGUUCACUGUUAAAGAGCAAAGUGCAGAGGAAAGUUCCACUUCCAGGAAAAGAACUACAGAAGACGAUAUCCCCACACUGCCUACCUCAGAGCAUAAAUGCAUAAAUUCUAGAGAAGAUGAAGACUUAAUUGAAAAUUUAACCCAAGAUGAGACGUCUAGGCUGGACCUUGGAUUUGAGGAAUGGGAUGUAGCUGGCCUGCCUUGGUGGUUUUUAGGAAACUUGAGAAGCAACUAUACACCUAGAAGUAAUGGCUCAACUGAUUUACAGACAAAUCAGGAUGUGGGUACUGCCAUUGUUUCAGAUACUACAGAUGACUUGUGGUUUUUGAAUGAGUCAGUAUC
Molecule: small RNA, 552 nt
Filed under: Pongo abelii (Sumatran orangutan)
Lineage: Eukaryota; Metazoa; Chordata; Mammalia; Primates; Hominidae
Description: processed transcript
Source: RNAcentral